GAGUUUGAUCAUGGCUCAGGAUGAACGCUAGCGGCAGGCUUAAUACAUGCAAGUCGUGGGGCAGCGCAGUGUAGCAAUACAUGGGCGGCGACCGGCAAACGGGUGCGGAACACGUACGCAACCUUCCUUCAAGUGGGGAAUAGCCCAGGGAAACUUGGAUUAAUACCCCGUAAUAUUAUGAGGCGGCAUCACCUUAUAAUUAUAGCUCCGGCGCUUGAAGAUGGGCGUGCGCCUGAUUAGGUAGUUGGCGGGUAACGGCCCACCAAGCCUUCGAUCAGUAACUGGUGUGAGAGCACGACCAGUCACACGGGCACUGAGACACGGGCCCGACUCCUACGGGAGCAGCAGUAAGGAAUAUUGGUCAAUGGACGCAAGUCUGAACCAGCCAUGCCGCGUGGAGGAUGAAGGUCCUCUGGAUUGUAAACUUCUUUUAUCU
Molecule: ribosomal RNA, 436 nt
Filed under: uncultured Sphingobacterium sp.
Lineage: Bacteria; Pseudomonadati; Bacteroidota; Sphingobacteriia; Sphingobacteriales; Sphingobacteriaceae
Description: bacterial SSU rRNA
Rfam family: Bacterial small subunit ribosomal RNA
Source: RNAcentral